UCCCUGGUAGCUCAGAAGGUAAAGCAUCUGCUUGUAAUGCAGGAGACCUGGGUUCGAUCCCUGGCUCGGGAA
RNAcentral lists this transfer RNA (72 nucleotides) under Ovis aries (sheep). It matches the Rfam family "tRNA". From Rfam's summary of the family: Transfer RNA (tRNA) molecules are approximately 80 nucleotides in length. Their secondary structure includes four short double-helical elements and three loops (D, anti-codon, and T loops). Lineage: Eukaryota; Metazoa; Chordata; Mammalia; Artiodactyla; Bovidae. The record is from Rfam by way of RNAcentral.